Molecule: transfer RNA, 76 nt
Filed under: Cloacimonas acidaminivorans (SeqCode)
Lineage: Bacteria; Pseudomonadati; Candidatus Cloacimonadota; Cloacimonadia (SeqCode); Cloacimonadales (SeqCode); Cloacimonadaceae (SeqCode)
Also listed under: 8 other names
Description: tRNA-Gly
Rfam family: tRNA
About the family: Transfer RNA (tRNA) molecules are approximately 80 nucleotides in length. Their secondary structure includes four short double-helical elements and three loops (D, anti-codon, and T loops).
Source: RNAcentral
GCGGGAAUAGCUCAGUUGGUAGAGCGCAACCUUGCCAAGGUUGAGGUCGCGGGUUCGAACCCCGUUUCCCGCUCCA